Molecule: ribosomal RNA, 205 nt
Filed under: Mammaliicoccus sciuri
Lineage: Bacteria; Bacillati; Bacillota; Bacilli; Caryophanales; Staphylococcaceae
Description: Staphylococcus sciuri partial 23S ribosomal RNA
Rfam family: Bacterial large subunit ribosomal RNA
Source: RNAcentral
CAUUUAAAGAGUGCGUAAUAGCUCACUAGUCGAGUGACACUGCGCCGAAAAUGUACCGGGGCUAAACAUAUUACCGAAGCUGUGGAUUAUCCGUAAGGAUAAUGGUAGGAGAGCGUUCUAAACGUGUUGAAGCAUGAUCGUAAGGACAUGUGGAAUGUUUAGAAGUGAGAAUGCCGGUGUGAGUAGCGAAAGAUGGGUGAGAAUC